UGCCCCAUGGCUCAGUUGGCUUUAGCGUCCGACUGUUAAAGUCUCCUAACAAGGUUGCUUGUGAAUCGGAAGGUCGAGGGUUCAAGCCUUUCUGGAGCAG
Sphaerobolus stellatus SS14 is the source of this 100-nucleotide transfer RNA. It matches the Rfam family "tRNA". Rfam says of the family: Transfer RNA (tRNA) molecules are approximately 80 nucleotides in length. Their secondary structure includes four short double-helical elements and three loops (D, anti-codon, and T loops). The record is from Rfam. Lineage: Eukaryota; Fungi; Basidiomycota; Agaricomycetes; Geastrales; Sphaerobolaceae.